AAGGUGGAAACUAAAAUUACUAUCACAUGCUCAUCAUGCUCAUGUACGUGUUGUAAAAUGCUAACGUAAGCAACAUAUUUGGCUUUUCAUUGGCUAAGUGCCAAGUAUUUUUCUUGCAAAGAAUAACAUGGGUUUUUGAGUUGAGAGUUUGCAUACAGAGUUUUGUGUUUUUGAAGUGCAUAAAGUCUAGGAUUGAAUAAACAAUAGUAAUCACUUCCAGUGUCAUGGACAUCACACCAUUCUUAGUGUAAUAUCGCAAAAUAGUUGAAAACUUUUUACAAACCACUCCUGAAGUGUCACAGACAACCUUUUGUGGACUAUCAAAGAAUACUACAGUAACUGCAAAGAUACAUAACAAUUUUGAACGAGUUUAGAUAAUUUUCAGCUGUACAUUGUUUAUAAUUGCUUUUUUUAUAUUUUUGUGACUAGGUGAUCAAAGGUUUGGAUCAUGGGAUACUUGUAGGUGAAGGGGUACCCCUAAUGUUUGUUGGUAGGCUCGUGAAGAUAAUUUUUAUAGGAUCUAAAGGCUUUCUCUAUGUUGUGUUGCGUCUUUCUGUGCGUAAUAAGUUCAAUUACACAGGUGGAAAGCGUGAACUUUCAGAUACCUCUCGAGUUGUCUUAUGGACUAGAACAUGCUGGAUGUUUUUCUGUUGCCACACUAACUUAUUCUAAUUUAUAGUAUAGUUCAAAAGUAAACAUACUAGCUUAAUACAUUGAGUAGACCGAAAUUCGUGACUUCUUGUAGCUUAAAUAUGUGAACUCCUACUGUAGCUAUCUUCGAUUAACUUUUCGAUUCAAGUAAAGUAGCCUUUAUAGACAGUGUCAAGUUCUUUUGUAGUGGUCAUGAGUAGAAGCAUAUGUUUGUUGUUAAUUCUUGUUUAAAAUUGUGAUUUUAGAGUAGAAUAAGUUUUUAUUGUUAAUUAAUGACUAUUUCUGCAAAAGAAAUUAAGGUUCUAGAAUAGAACCAAAUCAUGUGAAGUCCUUGCGGUGAGUAGAAGCAUAUAUUUAUUGGUAAUAUUUGAGUAAAAUUGUGGUUCUAGAAUAGAAUCACAUUUGUAUUGUUUAUUUUAUGACUGUUUUUGUAUAUGAAAAUAAUGUGUUCUGUAAUAGAAUCAAAUAAUGUAGAGUAGUGGUUGUAUAGUAGAAUCUUAUAUAUAUAUAUUUGGUUCUAUAAUCAAUCUCUGUUACUGAUCAUAUGAGUUUUGGUCUAUAGUAGAAGCAUAUAUGUGUUAGAAAUAUAAUGCAUAUGUGUUUAUAUGAUUGAAUUAAUUUCAUAGUUCUGAUUCUAUAUACAAAUAAGCUAAUUAAUUUGAUUUUUAUGUGUGUUGUUUAAUAGUUUAGGGUUCGAACCAUAUUUUAUAAAAUUCUUGUUCUAGAGUAGAAGCAUUGAUGUAGUUGUGUGAAAUUAGUUUUGUCUGAGUUAGUUAAUGCUUAUUUUUGUUUUAAAAGUAAUAUUCUGUAAUGAGCUAAAUGGCAGCAUAGCAAAGGACUUAGGACUUCUCAGCUGCAUCACUUGCACCAGGGGAGCCCUUUAAAAUGGGUCGAUCAAAUCCCAUGAAAGUUGUUUUUGCAGCUAUGAAUAUGGAUUCCGUUGUUUCUUGUUGACGUAUUGUAUUGUCCUGGUAUCCGGAUGUCACAUUUUGUUAAAAGAGCGUUUUUAAGAUCUUAUUAAUCUCGGUCGGAACUGGUAUUUGUAUGCUCGUAAAUAUAUGCAUUUACUCCAUUUGGUCAGGAGAGGAUCUGCACCAAUUGGUUGUGAAAAACAUCAGAGGUGUUGCCAACUCCUAGGAAGAUGUGUAUCUUACCAGUGGUCAUGAGAGCAGAUUUUUGCAGCAGGAGACCAAGAAGGGAAAAAGGAUUUGAUAUAGGCAGCUACAGCGGUGGCAUGUGGACAAGACAUAGAAGUUCCUGAUUUAAUGUUGUACAAUACUCUUCUUUUGUCGUCGUUUAUUCCGGAGAGAGGGGCAGCUAGAGACCAUGUUGCUUUAUAUCUGGUCAUGCUGUCAGGAUUUGUAUUUGGUUGGCUUUGAUAUUGAUUUCCUGGAGAUUCAUGUUGGUUCAUAGAGCUGAGAACUUGGUUCAUGAUAAGGCCUUAAGUUAUGUGCUUAAAGCUUGGGUUUGUUUGUUGGUGGGGACUUUGAUAUUGGUUUGUAAAGAAACUGAUUGUUAAGGUUCUAGCUUAUUUUUUCAUGUGAACCAUUGCCUUUUGUUUUGUGUAUUUGUAAGUGAUUAAUUCCAUAGUAUCUUUAGCUACA
This is a long non-coding RNA of Daucus carota subsp. sativus, 2255 nucleotides long. RefSeq lists it as uncharacterized. Lineage: Eukaryota; Viridiplantae; Streptophyta; Magnoliopsida; Apiales; Apiaceae. The transcript is spliced from 2 exons. The record is from RefSeq and is a predicted model, not a curated record.